RNAcentral lists this ribosomal RNA (459 nucleotides) under uncultured bacterium. RNAcentral's name for it is "partial 16S ribosomal RNA". It matches the Rfam family "Bacterial small subunit ribosomal RNA", at positions 338 to 795 of the family's 1533-position model. The record is from RNAcentral.
CCUACGGGAGGCAGCAGUGAGGAAUAUUGGUCAAUGGCCGCAGGGCUGAACCAGCCAAGUCGCGUGAGGGAUGACGGUCCUAUGGAUUGUAAACCUCUUUUGUCAGGGAGCAAAGGGCGCCACGUGUGGCGCUUUGCGAGUACCUGAAGAAAAAGCAUCGGCUAACUCCGGGCCAGCAGCCGCGGUAAUACGGAGGAUGCGAGGGUUAUCCGGGUUUAUUGGGUUUAAAGGGUGCGCAGGCGGAAUGUCAAGUCAGCGGUAAAAUUUCGGGGCUCAACCCCGUCGUGCCGUUGAAACUGGCGUUCUUGAGUGAGCGAGAAGUAUGCGGAAUGCGUGGUGUAGCGGUGAAAUGCAUAGAUAUCACGCAGAACUCCGAUUGCGAAGGCAGCAUACCGGCGCUCAACUGACGCUCAUGCACGAAAGCGUGGGUAUCGAACAGGAUUAGAUACCCUAGUAGUC